This is a long non-coding RNA of Heterocephalus glaber (naked mole-rat), 1084 nucleotides long. The record is from Ensembl. Lineage: Eukaryota; Metazoa; Chordata; Mammalia; Rodentia; Bathyergidae.
GAUAAAUAAGACACUCAUAGCUUUCAUAGUCUGAGGCAUUUAGACAUAGAGUUCAAAAAUACCUAAGUUAGAGUCCGGCUCACUCUGCCCACUUGUGACCAGGAGACCAAACCAGUGAGGACUCCCCACACAUGACCACCAGCUGCCAGUUUAGCUGUGCACUGGGGCAGAGUAGGAGGUGGCUGAGUGUGCCCUACUCAAUCCAGCUUGCUCCUCCUACUUAAGACCAGGAGACCAAAUCGGUGAGGAUCCCCUGGGCAUGCCCACCAGCUGACAGCUUAGCCACAUGGGCACUUGCAAAAACAGCCCCCCGCCCCGUUGGCUGUACAGUUGCUUGGAUCCACACUACAGAGGCACAGAGGGGCAUAAAGUCCACUGUCCUAAGCUGCAGAAGUGAACAACAGAGAGAGGGCCUCUCUCAGGCUCCCUGAUGAAAACUGAAACCCACUGGAAAAGUGAAGAGAAUCUCUACAAUAAAGGCUCACCAGACAACCUUAAUUGUGCCUGAAACCUAUAAGAAACUGGAUAAUUAUGAAGCGAAUGAUUCAGCAGCUAAAAUGACCACUUCUCCUCAGGAAGAUCAAGGCAAGCUUCCUGCAUACAGAUGGGUUUCAAAGGAUGAAUAAAAGUUUGCUAUCUUAAAUGAAUAACUGAGGAGACACCAUUUUAGAAAAAGACAGUGGCAUUUGGAAAGACAAGAAGUUUAAGAGGAUGCUGAGAAAUGGAGUGAUUCACCAGCGACUCAAGGGUCAAAGAGAAGACCAUGAGAGGCUACUGCUCUUCUCCUGGGGCUUUCCACAGGCUCUGGAAGUCACCUAUGUCCCUCCUAUUCCUAAUCACCACAUGGCUUCAAGUUGACUCUGGACGGGUCUUUCACAGCGUCAACUCACACCAUGAAAGAGCAGCUCUAGGCUAAGAGAACAGAACAAUAGCAAUUAAUAUUCAGUACAUGAGGCAAGGGAGAAGGAUUAAAAGUGCUGGAAUUUUAUAUAGGCUUAGGUUUUAGCCAAAACUAGGAAGAACUUUGAUUGUAGCAUUUAUUAAGUAGAUGACAUUGAGAAAAAACUCAACCAUCUGAAAAACC